CGGGGCUCUGAGCAAGCUGGAUUUUGACUCCAAUUACACCGUGGUGGUUUCUGCCUCCAAUCCAUUAGGAAAUGCCUCUUCCCAGCCACUCACCUUCAUGCUGAUAGACAUAGUGAAGCCACACCCUCCCAACUUCUGGGUGGAAUUUGAUGAUUCCUCUGCCACCAACUGCACCAUUUUGUGGCACGACGAGGCACCAGCGCAGCACUACAGGCUGAGGUAUCGUCCCCUCGGCAGGCACGGCUGGAGCAUGGUUGAGAGCUUCAGCAGGGAGAAAUUCCAUCUCCAGGGGCUGGAGCCUGACACAGCCUACGAGUUCCAGCUGAGCUGCAGGAUCCUGCCC
RNAcentral lists this long non-coding RNA (343 nucleotides) under Chloebia gouldiae (Gouldian finch). RNAcentral's name for it is "Erythrura gouldiae (Gouldian finch) lncRNA (ENSEGOG00005017626.1)". The record is from RNAcentral. Lineage: Eukaryota; Metazoa; Chordata; Aves; Passeriformes; Passeridae.